Gorilla gorilla gorilla (western lowland gorilla) is the source of this 111-nucleotide ribosomal RNA. NCBI's taxonomy places the organism in Eukaryota, Metazoa, Chordata, Mammalia, Primates, Hominidae. The record is from Ensembl.
GCCCCCGGGCGCCAUAGCAGCCUGAGGGUGCUCCAGCCCAGAAGCUAAGCAGGGUCGAUCCUGGCUGGGACUUGGAUGAGGGACCACUUGGGGAGAUCGGGGCUGGAGGCU